AGAGUCCUGAUGUGUACGUUCUUUAACCUAUAAGUUUUGACCGAACACUUAUAGUUACGGGAGCCCAAGUUUCCGGGCAGCGUAAAUGCCUCCAUAAGAGAGGACUUACAAACGUGCGGAACAGUGCACCCACCUGCGGAGAGCGGGUUCAAAACAAAGGCAUAAACGGCACGAUUGGGACUCUU
This 185-nucleotide non-coding RNA is filed under the name Peribacillus cavernae. Its description in RNAcentral is "6S / SsrS RNA". It matches the Rfam family "6S / SsrS RNA". Rfam says of the family: E. coli 6S RNA was the first non coding RNA to be sequenced, but its function was unknown until recently. It consists of 184 nucleotides that fold into an extended hairpin structure with a large single-stranded internal bulge. The record is from Rfam by way of RNAcentral. Lineage: Bacteria; Bacillati; Bacillota; Bacilli; Caryophanales; Bacillaceae.